RNAcentral lists this long non-coding RNA (438 nucleotides) under Cricetulus griseus (Chinese hamster). RNAcentral's name for it is "lncRNA (ENSCGRG00015030559.1)". Lineage: Eukaryota; Metazoa; Chordata; Mammalia; Rodentia; Cricetidae. The record is from RNAcentral.
CGGGCACUUUGUUGACAUAUCCAAUAUAGGAGUGCCCAUCUCUCAUCUCUGACAGAGAUAACUGUGGGUUUGAACCUUUUACCAGGCACUCCCAGAGAAAGCACAGCCUGAUGCACUCACUGGGAACUUUGUGAGUCUGGAGUCUCCAUCACCAAUUCCCUGCAGUGUUCCUCCUGGGACUACUAUGAUGCUUCAACCUGCACCUGUUUGGAGUUCAUUGGGGUCUGGAGUCUGUCUUCUGUUUAGGCAGUCUGCCAUGUCAAGAUGAAGUCAAUGUCUCCUUGCCACCCACUGGCUGUCAGAACUCAUUGAAGUGGAUGAUGAACACACACAUUUUACUUUAUCUGAGAAACGCAUGGCCACAGAAGUAGUUGCUGAUGCUCUGAUGAAGAGUGGAAGGGCCAUGUGGUCCCAUCAGUGGUGGGAAUAACAAGCAAG